This 407-nucleotide ribosomal RNA is filed under the name uncultured bacterium. RNAcentral describes it as "partial 16S ribosomal RNA". It matches the Rfam family "Bacterial small subunit ribosomal RNA", at positions 30 to 526 of the family's 1533-position model. The record is from RNAcentral.
AUUGAACGCUGGCGGCAGGCCUAACACAUGCAAGUCGAGCGGAGCGGCGGACGGGUGAGUAAUGCCUAGGAAUCUGCCUGGUAGUGGGGGAUAACGUCCGGAAACGGGCGCUAAUACCGCAUACUAUCAGAUGAGCCUAGGUCGGCUUAGCGAGUUGGUGGUGUAAAGGCCUACCAAGGCGACGAUCCGUCACUGGUCUGAGAGGAGGAUCAGUCAAACUGGAACUGAGACACGGUCCAGACGCUUACGGGAGGCAGCAGUGGGGAAUAUUGGACAAGGGGCGAAAGCCGGAGCCAGCCAUGCCGCGUGUGUGAAGAAGGUCUUCGGAUUGUAAAGCACUUAAAGUUGGGAGGCGUUACCAACAGAAUAAGCACCGGCGAACUUCGUGCCAGCAGCCGCGGUAAUAC